This 93-nucleotide ribosomal RNA is filed under the name Colobus angolensis (Angolan colobus). RNAcentral describes it as "partial large subunit ribosomal RNA". Lineage: Eukaryota; Metazoa; Chordata; Mammalia; Primates; Cercopithecidae. The record is from RNAcentral.
GCAUAAUUAAACCUCCGAAUAGUCCAGGCCAAGACUAUACUAGUCAAAGCUAACUAUAUCUACAAUUGAUCCAAUAGAUUGAUCAACGGAAAA